Molecule: transfer RNA, 67 nt
Filed under: Epicypta sp. WQY004
Lineage: Eukaryota; Metazoa; Arthropoda; Insecta; Diptera; Mycetophilidae
Description: tRNA-Pro
Source: RNAcentral
CAAGAAAUAGUUUAUUUAAAAUAUUAAUUUUGGAGAUUAAUGAAAAGGAAAAANUCUUUUUUCUUGA